GAUGAACGCUGGCGGCGUGCUUAACACAUGCAAGUCGAACGGAACUAUUCCGAUCUGAGGCUUCGGCUGACGAAUGGUUUAGUUUAGUGGCGGACGGGUGAGUAACGCGUGAGCAACCUGCCCUUCAGUGGGGGACAACAGCUGGAAACGGCUGCUAAUACCGCAUAUUGCAUUUGGAUCGCAUGGUCUAAAUGUGAAAGAUUUAUCGCUGAAGGAUGGGCUCGCGUCUGAUUAGCUAGUUGGUGAGGUAAUGGCUCACCAAGGCGACGAUCAGUAGCCGGACUGAGAGGUUGAACGGCCACAUUGGGACUGAGAUACGGCCCAGACUCCUACGGGAGGCAGCAGUGGGGAAUAUUGGGCAAUGGGCGCAAGCCUGACCCAGCAACGCCGCGUGAAGGAAGAAGGCUUUCGGGUUGUAAACUUCUUUGACCAGGGAAGAAACAAAUGACGGUACCUGGAAAACAAGCCACGGCUAACUACGUGCCAGCCGCCGCCGUAACAC
This 502-nucleotide ribosomal RNA is filed under the name uncultured bacterium. Its description in RNAcentral is "bacterial SSU rRNA". It matches the Rfam family "Bacterial small subunit ribosomal RNA", at positions 28 to 526 of the family's 1533-position model. The record is from RNAcentral.